GAUGAACGCUAGUUACAGGCUUAACACAUGCAAGUCGAGGGGCAGCAUGGAAGAAGCUUGCUUCUUCUGAUGGCGACCGGCGCACGGGUGCGUAACGCGUAUCAAACCUGCCUCAUACUCGGGGAUAGCCUUGCGAAAGUAAGAUUAAUACCCGAUGUUGUUAUGUUACCGCAUGGUGAUAUAACCAAAGAUUUAUCGGUAUGAGAUGGUGAUGCGUCCGAUUAGGUAGUAGGCGGGGUAACGGCCCACCUAGCCUUCGAUCGGUAGGGGUUCUGAGAGGAAGGUCCCCCACACUGGAACUGAGACACGGUCCAGACUCCUACGGGAGGCAGCAGUGAGGAAUAUUGGUCAAUGGACGAAAGUCUGAACCAGCCAAGUAGCGUGCAGGAUGACGGCCCUCUGGGUUGUAAACUGCUUUUAGUUGGGAAUAAAAAAGAGGACGUGUCCUCUA
This 451-nucleotide ribosomal RNA is filed under the name Alloprevotella sp. oral taxon 473. RNAcentral describes it as "bacterial SSU rRNA". It matches the Rfam family "Bacterial small subunit ribosomal RNA", at positions 28 to 468 of the family's 1533-position model. Lineage: Bacteria; Pseudomonadati; Bacteroidota; Bacteroidia; Bacteroidales; Prevotellaceae. The record is from RNAcentral.